Acanthosepion pharaonis is the source of this 97-nucleotide non-coding RNA. The record is from the annotation of a GenBank genome assembly. NCBI's taxonomy places the organism in Eukaryota, Metazoa, Mollusca, Cephalopoda, Sepiida, Sepiidae.
GUUGAAACGACGGUUCUCGUACGAAGACCAAAGUUAAGCAACCUUGAGCCUGGUCAGUACUUAGAAUGGUGACCGCUUGGGAAUAUUGGAUUCUGUA